UGAGCCCCAGGGGCACCCUGGGAGACCCGGCCCCUUGGUCCAUCCCUGCCUCCCCAAGGACGUGUUGCUGCGGACAGGACUGGACAGAACGGAAGCCAGAGCACAGCCCCGAACUGCACCACCCAACCCCGUGGACAGUGGAGGACUGACCAGCUACUCACCUGAUGUUAUGGACACUCGUAGAUUGCGCCGGCCCCACCAUGAGGGAAUUGGUUGGUACAGGGCUGCUGCCCCCUGACCACCCAACCCUCCCACCCCCUAGCCCGCAACUGUAUCCCCUCCUUCCAGACAGUGCCAUUUCUUUUGGGGGUCAAGGGUCAAACACUGCAUCAUGGGUGCCAAACCAAUCUUUUGCAACUCUAGGAGGUGAUGGAGGUGUGUGCGUGUGUGUGUGUAUGUGUUGUGUGAGAGCGAGGGCUGGGACAGGAGCAGGGCGAGAAGGGCUGCCUCUCUUUGGCCGGGUAAAGGUUUCUGGAAACAGGGGUCUAGAGUCCUGGCCUGUACUCCUGGGACCUUAAGACCGGCGUGAAGUCGUCCCGGGGCCCUUAAUUCUGUAGUCAGUGCGACUUACUCCCGCUCUGGUCCAUUGGGAGUUUCGGGCCUGCUCUGGCUUCAAGAGUACAGACUCUCUUUCCCGCCUGAGGGGGCUGAGCCUGGGGGAGUGAGGGACAGGAGUAGUGGGGUGUGUGUGUUUCUGUAUGCAUGUGUCACUACCCCAUGUCCUCCAUCCCUCCUGGAUGAGCACAAUGUGGGGGGAAGAGGACUAGCAGCAAAUUCUAAAGUGGGAAGAUGCAAAAUGGUUUCCCUCCCAUCCUACCAAUAGAAAUGGCACGGUCUGGCCCCGUCUUCUCCUCCUCCCCCUCUGUCCCCUUGGCUGCCUGGGCUCUGUAAGCCCCUAUACAUCUGUAUGGAAUAAAAUGGAUAUGAUUUUU
Long non-coding RNA from Tachyglossus aculeatus (Australian echidna), 932 nucleotides. RefSeq lists it as uncharacterized. Lineage: Eukaryota; Metazoa; Chordata; Mammalia; Monotremata; Tachyglossidae. The record is from RefSeq and is a predicted model, not a curated record. The transcript is spliced from 2 exons.